UACGGAGGGUGCAAGCGUUAUCCGGAAUCAUUGGGUUUAAAGGGUCCGCAGGCGGGCGUAUAAGUCAGUGGUGAAAUCUCUCGGCUUAACCGAGAAACUGCCAUUGAUACUGUACGUCUUGAAUUCGGUCGAAGUGGGCGGAAUAUGACAUGUAGCGGUGAAAUGCUUAGAUAUGUCAUAGAACACCGAUAGCGAAGGCAGCUCACUAGGCCUGGAUUGACGCUCAGGGACGAAAGCGUGGGGAGCAAAC
This 250-nucleotide ribosomal RNA is filed under the name uncultured bacterium. RNAcentral's name for it is "partial 16S ribosomal RNA". It matches the Rfam family "Bacterial small subunit ribosomal RNA", at positions 524 to 773 of the family's 1533-position model. The record is from RNAcentral.